UGGGGAAUAUUGGACAAUGGGCGAAAGCCUGAUCCAGCCAUGCCGCGUGUGUGAAGAAGGUCUUCGGAUUGUAAAGCACUUUAAGUUGGGAGGAAGGGCAGUAAGCGAAUACCUUGCUGUUUUGACGUUACCGACAGAAUAAGCACCGGCUAACUCUGUGCCAGCAGCCGCGGUAAUACAGAGGGUGCAAGCGUUAAUCGGAAUUACUGGGCGUAAAGCGCGCGUAGGUGGUUCGUUAAGUUGAAUGUGAAAGCCCCGGGCUCAACCUGGGAACUGCAUCCAAGACUGGCGAGCUAGAGUAGGGCAGAGGGUGGUGGAAUUUCCUGUGUAGCGGUGAAAUGCGUAGAUAUAGGAAGGAACACCAGUGGCGGAGGCGACCACCUGGGCUCAUACUGACACUGAGGUGCGAAAGCGUGGGGAGCAAACAGG
Molecule: ribosomal RNA, 429 nt
Filed under: Pseudomonadota bacterium
Lineage: Bacteria; Pseudomonadati; Pseudomonadota
Description: Proteobacteria bacterium partial 16S ribosomal RNA
Rfam family: Bacterial small subunit ribosomal RNA
Source: RNAcentral